This 138-nucleotide small nucleolar RNA is filed under the name Ornithorhynchus anatinus (platypus). Lineage: Eukaryota; Metazoa; Chordata; Mammalia; Monotremata; Ornithorhynchidae. The record is from RNAcentral.
CCCCUCUCAGGAUGGCACCUGGAGAGUUUCCAGUACUCUCCCAGCCUUGGCUACGGGAGGAAGAGUCAAGCAGAGGCCUGUCCGUUCCAUUUCUGGCUUGGGCAGUGGCUAGCGAGUGGUAGGCAAUCUGCUACAAGA